Molecule: long non-coding RNA, 782 nt
Organism: Coffea arabica (coffee)
Lineage: Eukaryota; Viridiplantae; Streptophyta; Magnoliopsida; Gentianales; Rubiaceae
Source: RefSeq, a predicted model, not a curated record
CCGAAAUUAUCUAAACCUAUUCUUUAGUUCACUUUUCAAUCUUCAUUCGGUCUUCUACUCUUCUUCCUUUGCUUCGCCGCCGCUUCGCCCUUUUGUUUUUCAGCCAACAAUCUUCCUCCAUAGCCUGCCCCUGCUUCACCUUCACGGCUUCACCACCACCUUCAGUUGCUGAUCAGAAGCAAGAUGAUGGUUUUGAUGAGUUUGAUCCUCGUAGCUCAUUUUCAGGUGAAUAGCUUAAUUUGAGAGAAAAUGAACCAAUCUUGAUAAGAUGUAUUGAGUGAAGGGGCGACAGAGCAAGAAGAAAUGAAGAAGAAACGAAGGCUGCUGAUUUAUGGAAGAUCCGUGGAUGGAUCCUUGUGGAUUCAUGCACGCAUCCAUGUCUGUUGUCGAAGUUAAUGUUGGACACUGCAACUGUGUUUGUCUACCAAACUGGAGUAAUCAAUGACCCGCGCUGGACUUAUCAUUGGAAGUAGCGCCACACUUUGCGCAAACUCAUUUUUCUUCAGUUUUAAGAAUCCUAUUCUUUCGGGGAUUCAACUGGGACUUUAGUAAACUAUGCAUAGUACUUACACAUUCUUAAGAGGAAACACUUGUCUACCAUUAGUUUUAGGGCUUGCUUUAGAGAUUCAAGAUUCAAACUUAGAGAUCAAGGCAUGGGAUUUAGAGAUGCCAUCAAUUGAGAAACUCUAUUCUAAGUUUUGUAUUAUCUAAUCUUGAAUUCUUGUUUACUCUUACAAUUAUGAUGAACUAAUUUAUAGCCAGGGUUAGAAUUUUGUGAAAGA